GGCGUCGCUAGUGCAACUGGUUAGAGCACGCGCCCCACAAAGGGUAAAAUGCGGGUUCGAGUCCCGCUUAACGUCA
Molecule: non-coding RNA, 76 nt
Organism: Parelaphostrongylus tenuis
Lineage: Eukaryota; Metazoa; Nematoda; Chromadorea; Rhabditida; Metastrongylidae
Source: the annotation of a GenBank genome assembly